GAUGAAGAACGUAGCGAAAUGCGAUAAGUAAUGUGAAUUGCAGAAUUCAGUGAAUCAUCGAAUCUUUGAACGCACAUUGCGCCCGCCAGUAUUCUGGCGGGCAUGCCUGUUCGAGCGUCAUUUCAACCCUCAAGCACAGCUUGGUGUUGGGACUCGCGUUAAUUCGCGUUCCCCAAAUUGAUUGGCGGUCACGUCGAGCUUCCAUAGCGUAGUAGUAAAACCCUCGUUACUGGUGAUCGUCGCGGCCACGCCGUUAAACCCCAACUUCUGAAUGUUGACCUCGGAUCAGGUAGGAAUACCCGCUGAACUUAAGCAUAUCAAUAAGCGGAGGA
Molecule: unclassified non-coding RNA, 332 nt
Filed under: soil metagenome
Description: partial contains 5.8S ribosomal RNA, internal transcribed spacer 2, and large subunit ribosomal RNA
Rfam family: 5.8S ribosomal RNA (bases 1-120)
Source: RNAcentral